CAACUUUCAACAACGGAUCUCUUGGUUCUGGCAUCGAUGAAGAACGCAGCGAAAUGCGAUACGUAGUGUGAAUUGCAGAAUUCAGUGAAUCAUCGAAUCUUUGAACGCACAUUGCGCCCUUUGGUAUUCCAAAGGGCAUGCCUGUUCGAGCGUCAUUUG
RNAcentral lists this ribosomal RNA (159 nucleotides) under Bipolaris maydis (southern corn leaf blight pathogen). RNAcentral describes it as "5.8S rRNA". It matches the Rfam family "5.8S ribosomal RNA". Rfam says of the family: 5.8S ribosomal RNA (5.8S rRNA) is a component of the large subunit of the eukaryotic ribosome. It is transcribed by RNA polymerase I as part of the 45S precursor that also contains 18S and 28S rRNA. RNAcentral also lists the same sequence under 5 other names. Lineage: Eukaryota; Fungi; Ascomycota; Dothideomycetes; Pleosporales; Pleosporaceae. The record is from RNAcentral.